This 232-nucleotide long non-coding RNA is filed under the name Elaeis guineensis (African oil palm). Its description in RNAcentral is "long non-coding RNA (EGUI_LNC052429)". The record is from RNAcentral. Lineage: Eukaryota; Viridiplantae; Streptophyta; Magnoliopsida; Arecales; Arecaceae.
GGAGCCCGACUCCCGUAGGAGUCCGGGCGGAGUCAACUUGAGGUCGGAGUUGUCGGCAGAGUCCGGCUCCUGUAGGAGUCCGGACGAAGUCUGUCUUGCAGCCGUUGGAGUCGAGGACGAAGCCCAGCUCCCGUAGGAGUCCGGGCGGAGUCUUCCUGCAAUCAAAGUUAAAGGCGAAGUCCGGCUCCCGUAGGAGUCCGGACGGGGCUUACCAGCAGUUGAUGUUGAGGAC